CCAGCAGCUGCGGUAAUUCCAGCUCCAAUAGCGUAUACUAAAGUUGUUGCAGUUAAAAAGCUCGUAGUUGGAUUUCUGGCGGGGGCGGCUGGCGGCGUCCGACAAGGGCGUCUGCAUGGGUCGGUCCCCGUCAUCCUUGGGGAGAGCGGUUCUGGCAUUAAGUUGUCGGGGCCGGGAUCCCUAUCGUUUACUGUGAAAAAAUUAGAGUGUUCAAAGCAGGCUUAGGCCCUGAAUACAUUAGCAUGGAAUAAUAAGAUACGACCUUGGUGGUCUAUUUUGUUGGUUUGCACGCCAAGGUAAUGAUUAAUAGGGAUAGUUGGGGGUAUUCGUAUUCAAUUGUCAGAGGUGAAAUUCUUGGAUUUAUGGAAGACGAACUACUGCGAAAGCAUUUACCAAGGAUGUUUUCAUUAAUCAAGAACGAAAGU
This 425-nucleotide ribosomal RNA is filed under the name uncultured eukaryote. RNAcentral describes it as "SSU rRNA". It matches the Rfam family "Eukaryotic small subunit ribosomal RNA", at positions 567 to 990 of the family's 1831-position model. The record is from RNAcentral.